CAAUUUGAGUCCUGAUCAACAUCUGGAAAAGAGAGGCAUCACCACCAUGCCAUCAUUCUAAUUUAAAGUUUUAAGCAAGUGUGAUUAUGAUGGCGUUGUUGCUCAUAUAUUCUGUCUGAGGAGGCUGCCGACUUUGUAUAAAAAGGAUAACUGCAGAUAAAGAGGGAAAUUGUCACAGUUAGCGGUUCACAUGAAAUUAUUGCAUUAUGGCUAACACCUUUGCAGACCACUUGCAAUCAGACGAGGCUUCGUCAUAUGUGCAAAGUAACAAACGUGGUUCUAU
Molecule: long non-coding RNA, 283 nt
Organism: Cynara cardunculus var. scolymus (artichoke)
Lineage: Eukaryota; Viridiplantae; Streptophyta; Magnoliopsida; Asterales; Asteraceae
Exons: 3
Source: RefSeq, a predicted model, not a curated record